RNAcentral lists this transfer RNA (67 nucleotides) under Aelia fieberi. RNAcentral describes it as "tRNA-Phe". It matches the Rfam family "tRNA". Rfam says of the family: Transfer RNA (tRNA) molecules are approximately 80 nucleotides in length. The record is from RNAcentral. Lineage: Eukaryota; Metazoa; Arthropoda; Insecta; Hemiptera; Pentatomidae.
ACUUGGAUAGCUUAAAUUUAAAGCUUAACUCUGAAGAAGUUAUUAUAGGAUUAUAUCCUUCUAAGUA